Molecule: transfer RNA, 73 nt
Filed under: Actinomycetes bacterium
Lineage: Bacteria; Bacillati; Actinomycetota; Actinomycetes
Also listed under: 2 other names
Description: Actinobacteria bacterium tRNA-Met
Rfam family: tRNA
About the family: Transfer RNA (tRNA) molecules are approximately 80 nucleotides in length. Their secondary structure includes four short double-helical elements and three loops (D, anti-codon, and T loops).
Source: RNAcentral
GGGCCGGUAGCUCAGUGGUCAGAGCACGGGACUCAUAAUCCCUUGGUCGCAGGUUCGAUCCCUGCCCGGCCCA